RNAcentral lists this ribosomal RNA (490 nucleotides) under uncultured beta proteobacterium. RNAcentral's name for it is "bacterial SSU rRNA". It matches the Rfam family "Bacterial small subunit ribosomal RNA", at positions 9 to 517 of the family's 1533-position model. The record is from RNAcentral. Lineage: Bacteria; Pseudomonadati; Pseudomonadota; Betaproteobacteria.
GAGUUUGAUCGUGGCUCAGAUUGAACGCUGGCGGCAUGCUUUACACAUGCAAGUCGAGCGGCAGCGCGGGGGCAACCCUCGGCGGCGAGCGGCGAACGGGUGAGUAACACAUCGGAACGUGUCCUAUGGUGGGGGAUAACCUGGCGAAAGCCAGGCUAAUACCGCAUGGUCUGGAGACAGCAAAGCGGGGACCGCAAGGCCUCGCGCCCUGGGAGCGGCCGAUGUCCGAUUAGCUAGUUGGUGGGGUAAAGGCCCGACCAACGGCGACGAUCGGUAGCUGGUCUGAGAGGAUGAUCAGCCACACUGGGACUGAGACACGGCCCAGACUCCUACGGGAGGCAGCAGUGGGGAAUAUUGGACAAUGGGGGCAACCCUGAUCCAGCAAUGCCGCGUGAGUGAUGAAGGCCUUAGGGUUGUAAAGCUCUUUCGGGCGAGACGAUGAUGACGGUAUCGCCGGAAGAAGCCCCGGCUAACUUCGUGCCAGCAGCCG